This 254-nucleotide ribosomal RNA is filed under the name uncultured bacterium. RNAcentral's name for it is "partial 16S ribosomal RNA". It matches the Rfam family "Bacterial small subunit ribosomal RNA", at positions 524 to 776 of the family's 1533-position model. The record is from RNAcentral.
UACAGAGACUGCAAGCGUUAUUCGGAUUCACUGGGCGUAAAGGGCUCGUAGGCGGCCAACUAAGUCAGACGUGAAAUCCCUCGGCUUAACCGGGGAACUGCGUCUGAUACUGGAUGGCUUGAGUUUGGGAGAGGGAUGCGGAAUUCCAGGUGUAGCGGUGAAAUGCGUAGAUAUCUGGAGGAACACCGGUGGCGAAGGCGGCAUCCUGGACCAACACUGACGCUGAGUGAGCGAAAGCCAGGGGAGCAAACGGG